This 1492-nucleotide long non-coding RNA is filed under the name Mytilus galloprovincialis (Mediterranean mussel). The record is from RNAcentral. Lineage: Eukaryota; Metazoa; Mollusca; Bivalvia; Mytilida; Mytilidae.
AUUGAUAAUUACACAAUGGUUUGAACAAUAACGUUGUAUAUCUGUUAUAUCAUUUGUUAUAGGAUUUAAAAGGAAUUUAUUGGUGAAUAAACAAGACCAAUUCACUCACUCACAAACAGAAGUCCUUGGACUUUUAUACUAUGCAUAUUGGUGAUUUGGUCCAAUUAUACACCUGCAUAUUAGUUUUACUCUGUAACAAAACACCACAAAUAUUUCUGAAAAAAGAACACAAAGGACACGGAAAGAUAUGAUCUUCAAGGUAUUUGUUGUUGGAACACUUUGUCCUGACAAAGUAAUAUUUAUUAUUACACGGACUAUUGCGAUUGCGUGAGUGUAACAAUAAUAAAAACAAUAAUUCUGAAAUCUGAAACAAAUACAUGAAUGGUAUAUUAAACAGAUUCUUCCUGAUAUUGCAAUUAUCAGUUUCAGGUUUAUUGUCGAAUCAUAAAUAAUCAUGAUCAAUGCACACAAUGACAUUUUUCAUAUCAGACUUCUUAUCAGCCCAUGGUCAAAAUCAUCCCUCGAGUCUGUCGGAUAUCGGGCUGAUAUCAUGACCUAGGGCUGAUAAGGGGUCUGAUAUGAAAAAUGCCAUGUUAUAAUCUAUACACAUCACCCGAUAGAACAGAUAUAAUGAAGCUUCUAAAACACUGGGAGGAUAACGGUUGAAUAGAUGAGCACAUUUAGUUUAUUUUAUAUUUUAGAUUCUUUUUUGAUGUCUUCAAUCGCUUUUUCAAAAGCGCAACAUUUACAUAUUUUCUGCUAGAAAAAUUAACUGCAUUCAUCAUUUGUUCAUCAGAAAUACUUAACUCGAAAACAUAUCAAAGUACUAAAAAUAAAAGAAAAACAUAUACAAGACUAUCAAAGGCCAGAGGCUUAUGGUUUGCGACAGGCGUAAACAUGCGGCAGUGUCAAACAUGCUAAACAUUUUUUUGGUCGGGUUGUUGUCUCUUUGACACAUUACUCAUUUCCAUUCUCAGUUUUAAUGUAAACACAAUUCUCCUAAACUGAUGACAAACUUUUGUUUACAACACUGUUUAUCUAAAUUACCAAGGUUUUAUGUUAUAUAUAAUGUCAUGAUGGGCAGUUUUCGAAUGGGAUGACGAUAAAGAGAUAUCGGGCGGUUUUUAAAUUUUGCUUAGAGGAAUAAGAUAUCAUGCACUCUUUUAGUGAAAAUCUUAGAUAUUUAUAUAUAUGGUAGUAUUGAAUGGUAGGCAAAUUAAAAAAAAAAGUAAGUUUGCUAGUAUCGUAAUUAAAGAGAUUGAAUAAGCUGUUUAUAAUUACAAAGACAAUACCGGCUCUGACCUUGUUGUUUGCCCGACAAAGAAUAUAUAUUUUUUUCUUUUCUUUUAUAUCAUAGAUCAGAAAAUGACAGAACACCGUUGAAACCAAUAAACUAUAUAUUUGAAUGGAAAGACACAAGAACAUAAAAUCAACAGUUUACGCAUUAAAAUACCAACCAAUGUCGACAAAAACUUUCAUCGAUCAUGAGCAG